RNAcentral lists this ribosomal RNA (1327 nucleotides) under Portunus sanguinolentus (three spot swimming crab). RNAcentral's name for it is "16S ribosomal RNA". The stretch from base 860 to 1327 matches the Rfam family "Bacterial large subunit ribosomal RNA", at positions 2048 to 2730 of the family's 2925-position model. Lineage: Eukaryota; Metazoa; Arthropoda; Malacostraca; Decapoda; Portunidae. The record is from RNAcentral.
UUAUUUAGAAAUAUUGCUAGAAUCAACUAUUAUUGGUAAAUAAGGUAUAUAAAAAUUAAUAUAAUUUGGAUAAAGUAAAGAUUAUUAAAAUGUUCACAGUGGCUAUAGAUUAUAAGUACUGAAUAGGAAAUAUAACUAAAUUAGAAACUAGUAAAGUAGAUAUAGUGUGUCGUACCUUGUGUAUCAGGGGUAAUCUAAAUUUCUGCAAUCAUAUUGCCAGUCCCGAAGUAAGGAUAGCUAGUAGGUCAAACAAGCUUUUGUUAUAUAAAGAUUUGGAAUGUUAUACUAAAGAUGAAACGUCAUACGAGCCUUGCAAUAUCUGGUUCUCCAGGAAUAAAAUAUAAUUUGACCACUAGAUUAAAUUUAUUUAGUGGUAAAGGAUAGGAGGGACGAGCUUCUUAUCACUAAAAUAAUCAAUUAAUAGAUUACUUACUAAUUAACUUCUCUAGGCUUAAAAGUAGCAAUGAUAGAAAAGUGUUCUAACUUAGGUUGUAUGAGAAAAUUAUUUAUAAGAUCUUUAAUUGUUACUGGGGUAUCAUUUUAAUCUCGGAAAUUUGAGAAACAAUGAUUAUAUAAGUAGAUAAAUAAUGUAACAGUGCAAGUGUAGAGUACUGUGAGGGUUAUAAAAAUUAUGGAGAAGUAAAAAAGGAACUCGGCAAAUAAUUUCUUUGCCUGUUUAUCAAAAACAUGUCUAUUAGAUAAUAUUUAUAGUCUAGCCUGCUCACUGAUAAGAAUUAUUAAAUAGCCGCGGUAUCUUGACCGUGCAAAGGUAGCAUAAUCAUUAGCUUCUUAAUUGGAAGCUUGUAUGAAUGGUUGGACAAAGGAAAAGCUGUCUCUUUUAUUAAAAUUGAAUUUAACUUCUAAGUGAAAAGGCUUAGAUACUUUAGAGGGACGAUAAGACCCUAUAAAGCUUUAUAAAUUUAAAGAUUUUACAUAUUUUAUCUAUAAUGGUAAUCUCUGGAGAAUUUAUUGGGUUGGGGCAACAAAAGUAUAAUUAUCAAUAACUGCUAUAAAAUAAUACAAUUAUCUUUGUGUGGGUAGAUUAGUUGAUCCCUGAAAAGGAUUAAAAGAUCAAGUUACUUUAGGGAUAACAGCGUAAUUUAUCCUGAGAGUUCUUAUCAAAGGAAAAGUUUGCGACCUCGAUGUUGAAUUAAAAUGUCUUUGUAGUGCAGCAGCUACACAAGAAGGUCUGUUCGACCUUUAAUUUUUUACAUGAUUUGAGUUCAGACCGGCGUGAGCCAGGUCGGUUUCUAUCUUCUAGAAAUUAAUAGGCUGCUCUAGUACGAAAGGAUUGAGCAGCCAAAAUUCUUUUAACGGGUUUGAAAUA